UCUAUAUGGAUCACAAGAGCUUGAAAUAUUUGUUUUCUCAAAGAAAACUAAAUAUGAGGCAGAGAUGUUAGAUCGAUCUCUUAAAGGAUUAUGACUGCAAGAUACUUUACCACCUCGAUAAGGGAAACAAGGUCACUGAUACAUUAAGUCGGAAGGAAUCUAUUAUGUUGGCCCAGCUGAUGACUUCUAAUUGAAAAUUGGUUGAUGCAAGCAGUCACUUCAUCUGAAUAAUUAUGGAAAUGGUGCUUAUCUUGCCCAAAUUUGGGCCUCGCCUAACCUCUUCAUGCAGAUUUGGUAGACUCAGUCAACCGAUCCCAAGCUUUUGUAGAACCUUAGUAAGUUUACAUCUGAUGAGUUUCCUGAUUUAAGAAUCAUUGAUGAUGGUUUGUACUAGUUCCAUGAUCGUGUUUGGGUACUUGCAGUGAUCAGGAUAGAUAUUUUGAAGGUAGCCCAUGUAUCCAAACUAUCUAUCCAUCAUGUGAGCACCAAGAUGUACCGUGACUUGAGGUGCUAGUAUUAGUGGCGGGAUAUUUUUGAGUUCGUCUCUUGGUGCCUUACUUAUUAGAGAAUCAAGGUAGAACAUUAAUGACC
This 591-nucleotide long non-coding RNA is filed under the name Carica papaya (papaya). RNAcentral describes it as "long non-coding RNA (CPAP_LNC007857)". The record is from RNAcentral. Lineage: Eukaryota; Viridiplantae; Streptophyta; Magnoliopsida; Brassicales; Caricaceae.